GGUGCCUUGUGGGUAACGGUGAGGACUGGAGUGAAGCUCCUCCCGUGUGGCAGGUGGGCCGUGACAGCUCCAAGAUGCUCUUUGACCUGAGAGGAAGGGAAAACAACAUCAAUGGCCACCAGGGACGCUGGAGGUGUCGGUGGAUGAAGGCGCGCUGCCAAUAACACCAGACAUGUGUGUAUACACUGUAGACUGCAGUUUUCAGAGUGUGGAGUAAGGGGAUGAAUUUCACACAAAUCAGUGCCAGCUCCUGAUCCAAAUCAGGGAAACAGCAGAAUACCGUGCCUCGCCUUGCCUUAAUUCUUUAAGAACUAGUGAGAUAGAGAUGUGUGGGCAGAAUGCUUACACAAUCUACGUACUGUGAAUGUGAGAUGUUAUUAGGACAGCGCUUUCAUUUUUACAAUGUUUGCAUUUGUUUUUCACUGCAUAAAUACAUUGUUGUUGCGAUAAUAGCUCUAUAAUGUAUAAUUCAACAUAAAAACUCCCUGCGUUUCUGAUUAGGUACAUGAAAAACAAUGUUGUUUGCCUCAUGUUUUGCAAAAAAAAUGACCCUCCUUCAAAAAUUGAAUCAGUUUUUGGCACAGCUGUGACCAUGCAACUUGGCCAGUUUACAUAAAAAUGCACCUCUUCUCUUUCCAAGCAUCAGUUACUGAUUUCCAUAUUUUCCUGCUCCAACCAUGGCUCUAAUCUCAAGGUCUGUGUGUUUCAGUAUGGCAGCAAUUGCUAUAAGACUAGAUCUCCCACAAUAAUCUGAAAUGGACUAAACCACUGAUGGACAAUGGUUAAUGGAUAAAUGCUCCCGUUUUCCGACCACUGCGCUCUACAGCGUCUAUUUCAUGCGUCUCUGUUUUCAAGAAUCUCUUGUAUUUCUCUAACCAUCUUCCCUGAAUAUUCGACCCCUCCUCUGCCUUAUCUACCAUAAAGUAAGUGAGUGAAAUUCACAUUCUGCAGCCGAAUGAGAAACUCAGUAAACAUGGGGUAAAUAAAGAACUGA
Molecule: long non-coding RNA, 994 nt
Organism: Acanthopagrus latus (yellowfin seabream)
Lineage: Eukaryota; Metazoa; Chordata; Actinopteri; Spariformes; Sparidae
Exons: 3
Source: RefSeq, a predicted model, not a curated record